Molecule: ribosomal RNA, 253 nt
Filed under: uncultured bacterium
Lineage: Bacteria
Description: partial 16S ribosomal RNA
Rfam family: Bacterial small subunit ribosomal RNA
Source: RNAcentral
UACAGAGACUGCAAGCGUUAUUCGGAAUCACUGGGCUUAAAGGGCGCGUAGGCGGCUCAUCAAGUCGGGGGUGAAAUACUUCAGCUUAACUGGAGAAGUGCCUUCGAUACUGGUGGGCUUGAGGGAGGUAGGGGUCUUUGGAACUUCUGGUGGAGCGGUGAAAUGCGUUGAUAUCAGAAGGAACGCCGGUGGCGAAAGCGAAGGACUGGACCUCUUCUGACGCUGAGGCGCGAAAGCUAGGGGAGCAAACGGG